This 301-nucleotide ribosomal RNA is filed under the name uncultured bacterium. Its description in RNAcentral is "partial 16S ribosomal RNA". It matches the Rfam family "Bacterial small subunit ribosomal RNA", at positions 509 to 809 of the family's 1533-position model. The record is from RNAcentral.
CAGUAGCCGCGGUAAUACGAAGGGUGCAAGCGUUACUCGGAAUUACUGGGCGUAAAGCGUGCGUAGGUGGUGGUUUAAGUCCGUUGUGAAAGCCCUGGGCUCAACCUGGGAAUUGCAGUGGAUACUGGGUCACUAGAGUGUGUCAGAGGAUGGUGGAAUUCCCGGUGUAGCGGUGAAAUGCGUAGAGAUCGGGAGGAACAUCAGUGGCGAAGGCGGCCAUCUGGGACAACACUGACGCUGAGGCACGAAAGCGUGGGGAGCAAACAGGAUUAGAUACCCCAGUAGUCCCUGUCUCUUAUAA